GCGAUCACACCAGCACUAAUGCACCGGAUCCCAUCAGAACUCCGAAGUUAAGCUUGCUUGGGCGAGGGCAGUACUAGGAUGGGUGACCCCCUGGGAAAUCCUCGUGUUGCACCU
Molecule: ribosomal RNA, 114 nt
Filed under: Zingiber officinale
Lineage: Eukaryota; Viridiplantae; Streptophyta; Magnoliopsida; Zingiberales; Zingiberaceae
Source: RNAcentral